GAUGAACGCUGGCGGCGUGCUUAACACACGCAAGUCGAACGGAAAGGCUCCUGCUUGCAGGGGUACUCGAGUGGCGAACGGGUGAGUAACACGUGGGUGAUCUGCCCUGCACUUCGGGAUAAGCCUGGGAAACUGGGUCUAAUACCGGAUAGGACGAUGGAUUGGAUGCCAUUGUGGAAAGAUUUUUCGGUGUGGGAUGGGAUCGCGGCCUCUCAGCUUGUUGGGGGGGUAAUGGCCUACCAAGGCGUCGCCGGGUAGCCGGCCUGGGAGGGUGAACGGCCACAGUGGGACUGGGAAGGGGCCCGGACUCCAACGGGGGGCAGCAGUGGGGAAUAUUGCGCAAUGGGCGCAAGCCGUAUGCAGCGACGCCGCGUGGGGGAUGACGGCCUUCGGGUUGUAAACUCCUUUCGCUAGGGACGAAGCGCAAGUGACGGUACCUGGAGAAGAAGCACCGGCUAACUACGUG
RNAcentral lists this ribosomal RNA (466 nucleotides) under uncultured bacterium. RNAcentral's name for it is "partial 16S ribosomal RNA". It matches the Rfam family "Bacterial small subunit ribosomal RNA", at positions 28 to 507 of the family's 1533-position model. The record is from RNAcentral.